GUGGGCUGUGUCGCAUUCCGUUGCAUAGACUUCCCCUGCUUUCCCUCUUUGUGCCUUUGUGUCUUAGGGGUGGGAGUACUGGCCCCAUAAUGCCUAUCACAGCAUUUGACUCAGGCCGGCUCUGCCUUGACGCCUCCAGGAUUUGAUGAUGCAGGAACAGCUCUCAGUGUUAGUCUUGGCCUGGGAAACUUCCGGGCACGGACCGGGAAGAGCCAGGGGACCCGUGACGAAGAAAGAAAGAAGGAAGGAAAGGACACACUAAGUGAAAUCAUCUUACAGUUCUGGAAGGUCUGAGAACAUCAGGAUUGUCCAGGGACUUUCUUCCUUCGAGGUAGGUGUGUUAAAAAGUAAAGGGCGUCACGCGUUAAUUGUGUGGGCCACGCCGCAAUAAUGCUGAGGGCUGAACUCGAGAGUGAAGGGAAAGCCAAAAUAUUUUGUGAACAUGUCACCAGAGCUGAACUCUGUCCAGAAGCACAUCGGAUCUUGCACUUCAGUGGUGCCAGGCAGAAAAAUACACAGGAGGACACACAAUGGCGAAAUUUAAACAUGAAUAGAGUUGGAUUUUCAUUGUUUGCUCACAAUACCUCUCGGGUUGGAAGGAAGGAAAUAGGCUGUAUUGCCUAAUAACUCGAAAUGCCCCAGAGAAAGGAAAACAGACAGAUUCCUCUUUUGCUUGGUGCACCAGCUCGGGUGGACAACAACACUUCCUGGUGAUAAGUUUGUUAAGGGCUAUUUUGCAGAUCCUGCUCGAAUUCUAAAGCCAUAAACCAUCCAUGCGGUCGACGAGUCUGUCUAGCUGUGAGGGACACGGGGUAUGAUUUACAAUCUCUGCCAAGGAGACAUCUAGAUGGAAACGUUUGCUCAUACGCUGCCCGUGGAAGAGACCCUGGGAAGGAAGCAUGGUGACAAGCUAUCGUUUCUCUGCUUGAUUAGUUACAUAGAAAAAAAAAAUUUUUUUUUUUUUUUUUUUGAGCUUGUAAACGUUAUGUUUGUGCUCUUGGCACAAAUUCGAGUAGGGAUAAAUUUACGUUUUGGCAUUGGGUCAAUGAGAGCAAGAAAACCAGAGCUUUAAGAUAAAGGAGAAUAGAAGUCGUGUAACCUAAAAGAUAAAGGCCAACCGAUCCCAAGAAAGUAAAAUGCCGCCUUCGAAGGCGUCUCCUCCCUGGAUGUGACGACAGGCCAAAACAAGACCAUGUUUAGCUGAUGGGCCACAUUCUCUCUCCCUGACCCAGUUCUUGAUCAUCAUUCACUUUCCACCUGACAGCCACUGUUCCUAGACCAGGAGAAGGAGGCUCAUUUAACCCAUCUGAAUCUGCUUUAUGGGAGUGAGGAAGCUCAGGGGGUCCUUGGUGGGUGAAGGGAAGUUGCAGGACCCAGUGCGGGUGCUCGGGCCAGUCAGGGAGGGGAUGGAGCACGCAUGGCACCCAGGGUGUCUGAAGGGCAGUUUUCCACGCUCGUUUCAGGUACACAGAAUGGUGUGUGGCUAGAAUUGAUCCCAAAUGCUGAAAAGCCAAGAGAGUGGCUGCCAGUUGUGCCUGAAUCAUCCCCAACAAGACAGGUAUAAGGAGGACAGGCAGAGGGACGUGGCGAUGUCUUCGGGAGUGAGUGUGCUGAUCUCCCGCCCUAGUGCAGCUUACGUUCUUGUGUGUCCGAUUUAAUUGCUAUUGUUGUCCGGUCUUAAAUAUGCCUUAAGGUUGAACAACGGCUCAGUGAUUCACCUGUGCAUACCUUCCCAUAUCCUCCUGUCUCCUUUGUGUGUUCACUUGACCCUCCCCACCCCCACUGGAGGAGACCCAGUAGGAUAAGAAUCUAGCUUGGUGUUCAUAAGCUCUUUUUUCUAUUGGUGCCAAUCUUGAAAAACGAGAAUCAGAAACUGCUAGAUGAGAACCCAAUGCCUUAGUGAGGAGAGAUGAGGGAGAGGAGAGGGAAGAGAAGCCAGAUGAAAUAGACACCGCUCAGAUGUCCCCAUUUUUCCAUAUUCGGGAGGGGACCUAUAGUGCAGAGCUGAAAAGGGGUGGUAUCGUGAUUAAAAAAAAAAAAAAGCCAACAGACAAUACCUCCUCUAUGAAAGCAGCUUUGUUCUCAGGUGUAAUUUGAAAAACAAUCAAACAAAUGAAUUUACGAUGGCGUUUUCCCACCUUUAAAGUCGUCUGGAGAGACAGAGAAAGUGCAAGCUGGCCAGCAGAUCGGACUGAGAAGCUCCCAACCACAACCAGAGGCUGUCAUGGUAUUAAAUAAAAAUACAAUGGAGGCCAGAAAAUAUAAUAGGAAAUGUAAUCGCUCACUGCAUCAGAAGGUUACAUAAUAAAUAAACUAAACAGGAAGCGAUUCAGGGCAAUGUCACCAAAGGAUGUCCCUUGAAUGCCGUGUCUUACAAAAAACACAGUCAUACUCUAAAGUUAUGAAGUUUAUCAUUACAAUGAUUUCCUAUAAAGCAGUAGAUAGCUCUGCCCACAUCAUCUCAGGUCUGGCCACCACAAAACUUGUUUACAAGCCAGAGUCCCCAGUCCAUCCCCACGAGCUAGCAAUCCCUUGGCCCCUCUUCAUUUUUCUUAGUUCCAUUCCAAUCGACCAUGAAGGCAGCCAAGGCCGUUGCCCAUGAAACCGAGAGACUGAAUUUUCAAAGCCCCAUGAGUCACCAUCCAUUGUAGAGGCUGUUGGCUGCUCUGCCUGUUGGUUACCAAUUUUCAUCGUGGACCUGCAUCAUUUUCCAGGAGGAUCUCAGAUUGUGGCAAAUGGAAACAGAAUGCUAAACUUACAAUGUUUGGUCUGUGAAAUUGCCACUGUUUUGAUAUUCCGACUAAGCCUUUUGAGAAACAAUUCAGAAAUUUGACAAUCGCGGUAAUGUAAGGGGCGAAAAGUUUAGCUUAAAAAUUUAUUUGUGAUUGGACCUUUUGCGAUAAAUCUAUUUCGUGGCAUUUAAGACUAAUUUCCUCUUAUUUCAACUGAGCUACUCAGCAGGGUCAGGUGUGUGGUGGCACCUGGUACUUGGAAUGACUCUGCUUCUUCACGUGUAGGUUGACUCAAAGACUUUCUCUUCCUUUUUGUGCAUUGGACUUCUCUGUUUACGGCUGUAGCAUCCUAGUAGUCUUUACAUAAGAAAAAAAAAAAGAUUAUGCCUUAUCCUCCCAUACCAAAGCGGUAAAUAUUGCCAUAUGACUUCACAGCAUGUGCAGGUGGUAAAUAACUUUUAAAAAAUAAACACCUCGCAUACAAACCUGUAAAGGCCACCUGAAGCACGGUUCCAAAUAACGGGCAGGUUAAUAAGAUGCUGUCAGCCCAGGAUGGUUUUGCAUUGUGUUCGUGUUGCGAUGGCAAAUUGUGUUCUCAUAGCUGGCUCUCCAUCAGGAAGGACAUUUGUAUGUCAAGAGAUUAGUAUAAUGUCGACCAGUGACACUGCCUUCUUGUGCCUAAGCAUAAUCACAAGCCACACAUAAUUGAACGAUGUAGCCUUUUACUGAACAGGUAUCUUUCUAGAUUGUAUGACCCAAUAAUCUGGUCCAUUAAUAUUUCCCCAGAGCAAUUACUUCCUCGGGCGGUUGUAUUGUUCUGAAAGGCAUUUUGAGCAGCUCUGGACUUCGGCUUCAUGUAAGAAGUGCAGGAGUUAGCACAAUUCGGGAAUGACGUGGAAAGAGACCAAGGAUGGGAUGCAAAGCACAAAAGGACAGGAAGCCAUACAUCAUCACACAAAGUAACAUUAUGACUUGGUGGCCUCAGCAAGGCCUUCCAUAACGCUGUAAGCAGUAGCCAAAAAUAUUGCAAGAGCUCGAACUUAGAAACUGACUGUAAACUUGUCUUGAAUGGCCCCAAGACACCUCCGCCUUUGUUUCUAGAAGUCUUUGUUUUCCUCUGACAGUACUAGGAAACCUACCAUUUUCCUAGUCAAGUAUAUUUCUGUAUGCAUCGUCCCCGUGAUGCCAGCUUAAGCUGACAGCUUGACAACCUGGCUGCAUGAACGAAAGAUUCUCUAUUGACGAUCUUCCUUAUUCUUUUUCUCUGCCUAUUAAAUUGAAUUCAAUUUUAUUGAAUUCUAUUUUUUUUCUGGCUGACCCUGUUCAAGGCUACUCCCUCCAGGAAGUAUCAGAGAGCUGAACUUGGUCUGAGCAACUAUAUCGAAUUUCGUGGUGAGUCGGGAAUAUUCCCUCAGGAUGAGACUUACAGCUCGAGACGGAAUUUAUUAGUAUCAAUCCCGGCCCUUCCUCCAGCGUGCUGUGUGACUUUGGGGUAAGUCGUAACCUUUCUGUUUUUAGUUUCCUGAAAAGUGGAGAUAAAGCCCCAGUGCUUUUCAUCCAUCUACCUUGGAGGAGUUUUGUGAAGGUUAGUUAAUGAAUUGUCAAAACGUCCGCAUGUGGGAUGUAUUAAGGGAUUGUCAAAUAAUGGGUCAAACUGGGCACGAGAGAGCAAAAGGGAGCGAUUGCGUAGUAAUUGCUAAUUGUUCAACAUCUUCAAGUUUCUAGGGCAGCUGUCAGGUGAAGUUCCCAAAUUCGAUUGCUCUGAAAAACAUUCAGACGUCAGGAGAGUUAUUUCUGGUUUCACUUCCUUCUGUAGGAUUCUAUGCGGGAGUCUGUUGGCUCAAUAACUGUCUUUGAACCGAGGUGAAAUUGAAUAAGCGUUGGAGAGGCUUUCAUCCACAAACGUGAGCAUUGGCCAAUCACACCUUUUAGGAUAUAUUCCAUCAGUCAGCAUCCAUGCAAAGGGCAGGAUGAAAUCAGUUUCUCUGGGAGUCCGACUGACUUCUGCCAGGCUACUGCAGGUUGGCAGAAUUCAAGAAGUUGGAAUAAUGAAAGCUACCACGUCUCGACCACUUAAUAUACUCCAGGAACUUCACCCACGUUGUCUUAUUUAUCCACAGAGCGACCCAGUGAGGGAGAAGGAUGGUUUCUGGUCCUGAUUCCUCUCUCACUGUAUAUCCUCGGCAACCAACUUACACACCCCAAGACGGGAAGGAACCAUGGGUAGUGACACGCGUGGUCGUGGCCGUAAGAGGCAUGACCUGGUUCCUGGGGACUCACCCCUGUCAACCACUUUGACCAUAUCAGUGCCAGGCUUUGAGCAGCUGCACUAGCCGAUAAUGGACAUAGAAAACAAUCAAGGCUUAAGUUUAACAUAAGUGACCAAAAUGCCAGCUGGCCUGAUGAUUCCAGAAUCUCACCAUUGGAAUGUAGCAUGGGCUAGCCUGGAUACUUCGGUUUUGAGCAUGUAAAUAUGCGUCCAACUCGCAACAUAAUGGGGGAGGGAGGAGAGUAUGGAAUUAGAAGACGAUCAAAGCAAUUUGUUUUUUCGUUUUUGGACAGUUUGGGUGGAACCGGAAGUAAAGAUUAGGGAAAAGGAAAAGUGUAUGUGUGUGUCGAGGGCAUGUCUUCUUUGCUUAUUUAUUUUGUUCACAUUUGGACAAAUUGGAGGAAAGUACGGACCAGAAAUCUGUCUCCUUUCUAAAAAAAACCAGGGACCGUGAAUGGUUCAUAGUGGCUCUAUGGCCACCGCCCUGACGACCAGGUGGGGGACAUCACCGCAUCUGACUGCCGGGGACGUCUGGCUCCCUAGUGGCCUGCUCAUGCCCACGCAGUGGGUUCACGGCUUCGCUAGAAAUAGAAACCGACUUCUCUGACUUUCUGCUACCCAGACUGCCAUCGACUAAAAGAAUACCUCCUGAGAGUAAGGACGCUUGGUGGUGAAGGUGGGCUGAAAUGGCACCGUGAUCUCCCUCACCCCCCGCCCCGGGGGGCUGGCGGCGCCCCAGCGCGCGGGGUAAGCAGGAAGCUGCGGCCGGGCUGAGUCGCUCAGAGCGACUGGAGCUAAUAGAUUGCGGUCAGGAGGCCGGCGGCAGCAUCUCGGUAGUGAUGGGAACACGCGGAGCAUCGUCAAAACAGCUGCAGAAACAUGCUGAGCUCGGCUCUGCGGGGCCGCUGGGACUCUGCUGGCAGCCGCGGCCCCGCCGGCCCAGCUCCAUCCCUGCAUCCGUCCCUCCCCUCCAUCCCUCCCCGGGGUUGGGCCGCGCGGGGACCCCUGCCCGGCCCCCCCACCUGCUCUCCCCGGCCCCCGACCUGCUCUCACCUGCGGCAGGGCCCACAGGUUCCCCCGCUGAAGUCGCUGCCCCUACUGAGCUCAGACCCAGACAACACAGGCAGCGCCUGUUCCCACCGGUCACUCCGGGGGAGGGGAGGAACGGAGGGCGAUUAAACGAGGGAGUUUUUCGUCUGUUUCUUUGUGUAUAUAAAUAUAUGUAUAUAUAUCUGGUGAAGACGAUCGGCAAAGUUUGAAGGCGGACGAAUUUGAAUUUUGGCAGAGAUAUCUAAAUAUAGUUAAAAUUACUUGGGUCUUUAAAACUUGGGAGGGCCUUAGAUCUUUUAGUCCAAGCUUUUUCCAUUUAUAAGAAAAAGAUGCAAGACUCAGGCCGCAGGGGCCAGAGGAGGACUGAGUUCACAGCCGAGCUCACUGCUGCUGCCAGUGAAUCUUCAGUCAGUGUCCACUGGGCACAUGCUAUGUGCCAGCGUCAUUCUGUGCCGUGUUUACCCAGCACUGCAAACACAGGCGGAAAUCCAUGCCCUCGUCUGGCUGAUCGCAUGCAGACGCUGUUCUAGUCCGUUAUAUCGUUAUAUAUCACGUUUAUCCUAUAAGGCAGGCGAUAUUAUUAUCCUCAUUUAACUGAAGAAGAGGUCGAUGCACAGGACGGAAGGGGCAAAGCCUGGAUUCAAAUUUUGAGAGUCCGACUCUGAACUCACAGCCUGAUCAACUAAUCGGUAUUGGCCUGUGUGUGUGUGUGUGCGUGUGUGUGUGUGUGUGUGCGCGCGUGCGUGUGUGUGUGUGUGCGUGUGUGUGUGUAUUCAGUCUUACAGCUAUAGUCUAAUACAGGCCUCUUUAAACUGACUCAAAACUCUUCAUAUCAUAUGAUAACCACCUCAUGUAUCUUGAAAACAAUAAAAAGCCGUCAUGGAGAAGGGUAGACAUCUGAUAUUCGCCUCCCGUGAGAAUCCCAGCCGGCGGCCGUGUAUUCACUGGGCACAUGUGUCCUAGCUCCCGCUGUCUGCGUAGCGGUUACCGAGCGCUUUGCCACCCUGUCCCUGUGCCUCAGCACAAGCCUCUCCAGUGUAGAGCAUUGCCUCUGCUUCCUCACCCAGCAAAGCCGGGGGCUGUGCCCGGCGUCUCCUGCCCCCAGGGUGGGAGCCCCCUCCCCUGGGAGUAACAGAAGUAAGGAGCGAUGAUUAAUUCACAGGGAGAUGCACUGGCGCUUGGCGGACGGGCAGAGUAUGACUGACCAGGAAGGAGGCUGCCAGGAUUAACCGGGCGGGGACAGUCCGAGGUAUCCAUUCUGCAUACCAGUUAACAGCAUCCUUCCCAGCACUUCUCCUUGUCCCCAUUAAAACUGUACGAAAACACUACGUGCCCAGCUGAAGGGGCAAGAAAACUCAGACGUGCCGUGGGAACUCGGACCGUGGUGCAGCAACGAGAUGAGGCAUUCUCCUCCGCUGCUACCUGCUCCUGCUGCGCUUUUUGCUUCUUUCCUCCACAGAACUGGAGAGUGAGAGAGAAAGAGUGAAUGGGAGCGCGAUUGUGCUUUCCUGCAUUCGGAGAAUCUACGGAAAACGUGGUAGGUAAAUAGUGAGAGCUGUUCCCAUGUCAAAACACUCUAAUGCCAGGAUAUUAGCAGCCAUCAACUUCCUGGCAGCGCACAUGUUAACUUUCUGUGCAGAUCAGUUGUGAUAACUUCUCAGACCCUUUUUCCCUCCCUCCUCGACCCCCUUUCUUUUUUCCUUCCUCCCCUUCUUCUAAUUAACCACCCCCCACUCCAUUUUACAAAAAAAUAAAAACAUUCGAUGGCAUUUCCUUUCCUCCCCCUUCAAAAGAAAAAGAGCUUUAUUAAGUCUCACGGGAAAAAUACAUUCUUAUGACUAUGAGAUUGAAUAAGAGAACACGGUGAGAAAUUUGGAUGGCUUUUUGGACACUGAACUAUUUGUACCUACGAGGCAUGUGUGGGAAAUAGCAAAACGCAAUCACUAAUCGCUCAUCCUAAAAAGGCAAGGGGGAGGGACUCAGGUUGUUCCUCACUGGUGUCAAUGCUCUGCCAGUGAUGUGUGGCCUAUGGCCUGAAUUCGAGUGGCUUCAUUCUGGCCAUGGGAAAGGGGUGUGGUGGGGACAAUGUGACUCCGGUCUCUGACUGGCUGGGCCUGCAUUCCCUGAUUUCUGCAGGGGGUCCCUCAUUGUUGACUUUUAGUGAUAGCACACACGUGUACAAAUACUUCCACCUGUGACCUCACGGCAGCAAAGCAUACCUCUUAGAGAACCAUCGAGAAUACUUGAGAGCAACAAGAGCUGUGGCCUUUGACAUAAAAUAAACAGGACUAAACAAACCUCUCCUUGAGUGGGUGUGACUUCAGAUUUCUCUCUGGAUCUUUCAAACUAACCUGAGCCAAGUUGUCAAAACACGAAUUCCGCACAAGUACCUUCAAAUAGGUUUCACUGUUUUGUUUAUUGUGCUUAACACCAGUACAAGGAAUUUACUUGUGUGCGUGUGUGUGUGUGUGUGUGGUUAAAAAAAAACAACACUUAACAUGAGAUCUGCCCUCUUAAAACAUUUUAAGUGUAUGGUACGGUAUCUUUCACUGCGAGCACAACGCUGCAUAGCAGAUCUCUAGAGCUUUUUUCAUAGUGCAUAUUUGAAAAUUUAUACCACUGGACAGCACCUCCCCAGACCCCUGGCAACACCAUUCCAUUCUCUGCUUCUACGGGUUUGAGUACGUUAGGUGCCUCGUGGAAAAUAGCAUGGCGAUUCCUCAGGAAAUUAAAAACGGAACGGCCGUAGGGUCCAGCAAUCCCACUUGCGGGUACAAGGCAAUGAUCAUCUUUAUGGUUAGCUCUUGGAACCAAGCGUGUCCACUUGCGGUGGAUUCGAAUGACCUCUGGGCAGAGCUGAUGGGUCUGUCUGCACAGGUGAACAGUGAACAGUUUCAUGCUUGGCCUCCAAGAGGUAAGAAUCUCUUUAAAGCAUUCGGUGAGGGGUUUUUUUUUUCCCCCCUCAAAGGAACGAGAAAAUACUGCUUCGCCAUGAACACGUUAAAACUCAGCAAUCACGAGGAAACGAUUGUUACGUGAGGCCUCACUGAGAAAAAAAUCAACUCGAAAUCAAACUUUAUGAUACUUACAGGCCAGUCAACAAUGAUUUCAACGGGCCUUCUAUGGAUUUAUGGGGAUUGUCACCUAAGAAGAUCUCUCUAUAUAUUAAAAAUCACACACGGGAGGUCUGUUUUUAGGGGUGAGCGGCCCUCGGUUUUGAUCACCCACAGAAUGGGCUGUGUAUUCCCAUCCUAAAUCUAUUUCAAAAUAAAAACACC
This is a long non-coding RNA of Pteropus alecto (black flying fox), 9329 nucleotides long. RefSeq lists it as uncharacterized. The transcript has 6 exons. The record is from RefSeq and is a predicted model, not a curated record. Lineage: Eukaryota; Metazoa; Chordata; Mammalia; Chiroptera; Pteropodidae.